RNAcentral lists this ribosomal RNA (115 nucleotides) under Escherichia coli. RNAcentral describes it as "partial 23S ribosomal RNA". The stretch from base 1 to 103 matches the Rfam family "Bacterial large subunit ribosomal RNA", at positions 2823 to 2925 of the family's 2925-position model. RNAcentral also lists the same sequence under 1 other name. Lineage: Bacteria; Pseudomonadati; Pseudomonadota; Gammaproteobacteria; Enterobacterales; Enterobacteriaceae. The record is from RNAcentral.
GGUCCUGAAGGAACGUUGAAGACGACGACGUUGAUAGGCCGGGUGUGUAAGCGCAGCGAUGCGUUGAGCUAACCGGUACUAAUGAACCGUGAGGCUUAACCUUACAACGCCGAAG